UGCACAAGAACUUUUUCAAGAGGAAAUUGAGCCUGUGGAAAUACAUCAGUCUGGUGGUGGGCCUCAACCAGAAGAGCCAGCAGUUCAAGGUCAGAAUAUUCCACCUGGUCAGGAGGUGGAGGAAGAAGGAGCACCCGAGGCUGAAGGGCCCCAUGUGGCAUCUGAUGUCCAGGAACAUUUUCAGCCUGACCCUGGUGAUAUAUAUGAAAAUGGUCCUGAAAUCAAUGGGACAGAACCUCCUAACUAGAGCACUACAAUGCCAAAAGCAGGUGAAGGACAUGCAGACGUUCAAAUGGAGACAACCAGAACCCUGCCAGCUGUUCUUGUAUCAGUUGUUUGACUUCCAGUUCCCUCAAUAAACUUUAUAGUUCCCUGUGGAGAAAGCUUGGGUGUCUUCUCACUUUUUUCCUAGGCUUCUGAUAUUGUUGAAAAUUGCAUCACUUCUGAAAUGUUGUAUUCUGACUAAUUGCAUAUAUAGAGAUGAUGUUUGUAUAUUCCUUUUUUAUCCAUCAACCAUGAAAAAUUUAUUCCAAAUGUAUUUCUACACCUUUUUUGAUUUCAACAUACAGAAUCACGUCUUUGAAUCAUAACAAUUUGUCUUUGCCAUUCUACACAUUAUAUGCUUCCUGGUUCCGUUUUUACAACAUUAGGCAGCCUCAACCUGUACAGUGGUGAAUAGAGCCAGAGAAGUUGGUCAUUCUUGUCUUAAUCUGACAGGAAAUGGAAUUUGAUUUAGCACUUCGCUGUGUUUGUUUACAGAUUUACCUUACCUGAAGCAGCACAUCCCAUUCUUUUUUAAUUCACUAUUUUUGUUCCUUUCAUAUGUGAAAUUUUUUGAAUUUUUAUUUUUUAAGAUUUAUUUAUUUGUUUGAAAGAGUUAGAGAGAGAGAGAGAGGGCCUCCAUCCACUGGUUCAGUCCCCAAAGGGCCCCAACAGAUGAGGAUGGGCCAGCCUGAAGCCAGGAGCCAAGAGCUUCUUCCAGUCUCCCACAUGGGUGCAAGGGCUCAAGGACUUCGGGCAUCUUCCACUGCUUUUCCAGGCACGUUAGCAGGGGCUGGAUUGGAAGUGGAGCAGUCAGUACUCCAACUAGCACCCAUAUGGGAUGCUGCAUAUGGUUUAUGCUGCUGGCCCCACACAUGAGAAAUUUAAAGGCAGAUUUUUGGGGCUGAAUAAUUGCACCCGAGGGCAUCAAGACGUUAAAAAGGAACUUUCUUUCAUGUGUCCAAGUAAGUGGGCUUUUUUCAGCCUCUCCUUGGAUUCUCUCACUUAAGGUUGAAGCCCAGGUGGACAGGCCCCCUUCCCUGGUCCCGCGUGUGCCUUGCUGUGUGAACAUGGGCUUCUCAGGAUGUGCGCAGCAUC
Molecule: long non-coding RNA, 1359 nt
Filed under: Oryctolagus cuniculus (rabbit)
Lineage: Eukaryota; Metazoa; Chordata; Mammalia; Lagomorpha; Leporidae
Description: lncRNA (ENSOCUG00000031424.1)
Source: RNAcentral